ACGAGACCCAUACACAGGUGCUGCAUGGUUGUCGUCAGCUCGUGUCGUGAGAUGUACGGUUAAGUCCGUGAACGAGCGCAACCCCUGCCCUUAGUUGCUAAUAUGCGAAAGCAUAUGCACUCUAAGGGACCGCCAGCGGAAAGCUGGAGGAAGGUGGGGAUGACGUCAAAUCCUCAUGGCCUUUAUGUCCAGGGCUACACACAUGCGACAAUGGUCGAGACAACGCGUUGCAAACCAGUAAUGGUAAGCUAAUCGCAUAAAAUCGACCUCAGUACGGAUUGAGGGUUGCAAUUCACCCUCAUGAAGCUGGAGUUGCUAGUAACCGCAGGUCAGCUAUACUGCGAUGAAUACGUUCCCGGGGCUU
RNAcentral lists this ribosomal RNA (364 nucleotides) under uncultured Caldisericum sp. RNAcentral's name for it is "bacterial SSU rRNA". It matches the Rfam family "Bacterial small subunit ribosomal RNA", at positions 1021 to 1382 of the family's 1533-position model. The record is from RNAcentral. Lineage: Bacteria; Pseudomonadati; Caldisericota; Caldisericia; Caldisericales; Caldisericaceae.